GAUGAACGCUGGCGGCAUGCUUAACACAUGCGAGUCGAACGGGAAGUGGUGUUUCCAGUGGCGAACGGGUGAGUAACGCGUAAGAACCUGCCCUUGGGAGGGGAACAACAACUGGAAACGGUUGCUAAUACCCCGUAGGCUGAGGAGCAAAAGGAGAAAUCCGCCCAAGGAGGGGCUCGCGUCUGAUUAGCUAGUUGGUGAGGUAAUAGCUUACCAAGGCGAUGAUCAGUAGCUGGUCCGAGAGGAUGAUCAGCCACACUGGGACUGAGACACGGCCCAGACUCCUACGGGAGGCAGCAGUGGGGAAUCUUGCGCCAUGGGCGAGAGCGUGACGGAGCAAUGCGGUGUGGAGGUGGAAGGCCUACGGGUCGUCAACUUCUUUUCUCGGAGCAGAAACAAUGACGGUAUCCGAGGAAUGAGCAUCGGCGAACUCUGU
Molecule: ribosomal RNA, 436 nt
Filed under: uncultured bacterium
Lineage: Bacteria
Description: partial 16S ribosomal RNA
Rfam family: Bacterial small subunit ribosomal RNA
Source: RNAcentral